RNAcentral lists this unclassified non-coding RNA (337 nucleotides) under soil metagenome. RNAcentral's name for it is "partial contains 5.8S ribosomal RNA, internal transcribed spacer 2, and large subunit ribosomal RNA". The stretch from base 1 to 120 matches the Rfam family "5.8S ribosomal RNA", at positions 35 to 154 of the family's 154-position model. The record is from RNAcentral.
GAUGAAGAACGCAGCGAAAUGCGAUAAGUAGUGUGAAUUGCAGAAUUCAGUGAAUCAUCGAAUCUUUGAACGCACAUUGCGCCCCUUGGUAUUCCAUGGGGCAUGCCUGUUCGAGCGUCAUUUGUACCUUCAAGCACUGCUUGGUGUUGGGUGUUUGUCUCGCCUCUGCGUGUAGACUCGCCUCAAAACAAUUGGCAGCCGGCGUAUUGAUUUCGGAGCGCAGUACAUCUCGCGCUUUGCACUCAUAACGACGACGUCCAAAAGUACAUUUUUACACUCUUGACCUCGGAUCAGGUAGGGAUACCCGCUGAACUUAAGCAUAUCAAUAAGCGGAGGA